GACGAACGCUGGCGGCGUGCUUAACACAUGCAAGUCGAACGGGUCUGCCCGGUUGUUUGCGGGGGGGGUCAGUGGCGAACGGGUGAGUAACACGUGAGGAACCUGCCCCUCACUGCUGGAUAACCGCAUGAAAGGGUGGGUAAUACGGGGGGUUGUGGCAGUGGCGAAUGGUGGGGCUGGGAAAGAUUAACUGUUGGGGGGGGUUGGGGGGGGAGGGGCUGGCGGCCAAUCAGCGUGUUGGGGGGGUGAUGGCCUGCCAAGGCUUUGACGGGUAGCCGGCCUGCGAGCGUGCGCUGUCACCCUGGGACUGAGAUCCGGCCCCGCCUCCUGCGGGACGCAGCCGUGGCGGCUAUUGCACCCUGGGCGGAAGCCUGAUGCAGCGACGUCGCGUGACUGAUCCAGCCCUUCCGGUUGUGAACCUCUUUCGCCGGUGUUGAAGGUCCUGCUCUUUGUGGUCGGGUUGACGGUAGCCGGGUUAUGAAGCGCCGGCUAACUUCGUG
This 500-nucleotide ribosomal RNA is filed under the name uncultured bacterium. Its description in RNAcentral is "partial 16S ribosomal RNA". It matches the Rfam family "Bacterial small subunit ribosomal RNA", at positions 28 to 507 of the family's 1533-position model. The record is from RNAcentral.